This 1124-nucleotide long non-coding RNA is filed under the name Homo sapiens (human). RNAcentral's name for it is "non-protein coding HAGLROS:1". Lineage: Eukaryota; Metazoa; Chordata; Mammalia; Primates; Hominidae. The record is from RNAcentral.
CCUGGGAAGCAGGGCUCAAAACCUGGCCAGGAGGUCUUGUUGGGCCAGGAAUGUCCGUGGUUGGUGAGGAGGCUGGGAGAAGGCCUUUUUGAUGGCUCCAUUGUUCACAGCGCUGCCCUACAAAUACCAUAUCCGUCCCCACCUCCUCUGCAAGGGUCGAGCGGAAGAGUAGGUCUGGUGAGCUGAGCUCUAGGGAGCUGGUACCAUCUUCCCUCAAUCCCCCUCGGUUACCCCUUGGGGCAGCAACGACGCCAUCCCAGCCCCUUCCAGAGAACACACAAAGGAAGCCCCACCCGUCCUUAGACCUGAGGACACGCUCGGGAGCGGGCUGACGUGGACCCCGUUUCAGGGCGCCCCGGGCCCCUGCGGGGAACAAUAGCCGCCGCCUCCUGGGCGGUCUGGCGGGCGCGCGGCACAAACGUCCGCGCCGCCACGUGAUGCGCGCGCUCGUUCCGCGCUCUCCGCGCCUCAGCGAGCGGCCAGGCUGCGGGCGGGGUGGGCUGGCGCUCCUGAUCCACCUGGAACACUUUUGCAAAGACAGACGCGGUUCCUCCUACUUCAGAGCAAGUCUGGGCCAGCUGGGAUCCGACCAGAAAUCGCAAGCGGAGGAGACGCAGUAGCGCAGGCUGAGCGCUAACUGAAGGCGCGACCUGAGCCCGGCGCCUGCUGGGGAGCUGCGCAGCCAGGACAGCGGUCGGCAGCACAGGGCCUGGGCGCAGGGCCCGCCGUCACCACCUCACGUCGGAAGCCAGCACUGCUGCCCGCCAGCCCUGCCGCCUGCCCUCGGACUUCCCAGGGCGCCCAGGGUCCUCCCAACGCGCCUGCACCCACACCCGCCCCUGAGCCACAGUGACCUUGCAUUCCCCGCCCCCUGCCACACCUCCUGCGUGCCCGAGUGUCACCCUUAAAUACCGCUCUACACCCAGAGAGGGACGAAUACACCUCUGAAGACAGGGCAAGACUAAUUUCAAUGGGUCAGAAGGUUCUUGCAGGCACUGUUUUAUUUAAGAGUGCCUAUUUACUGGCAGGAGUAUUUGUGUGGGAGGAAGUAGGCUAAGACUGCUGUUGAACUUGAAGCUAAACUUGAAUGCCAUUUAAAAUAACAAUAAAAAUAUACUUAAAAC